CAACAACGCAAGUUGGACGUGUUUUUGAUAACCGAGCGCUAACGCGAGAAACUUACAAGUUACGAACGGAACGGAACGUUCAGGUUCUUUGUUUAUUUUCGCGUGCGAGUGUGUCAAUUUUGUUUACGCCCGGAUCUUAGCGUGAUUCGAUUCGGGAGGUAGUGAUUUAUCUACAACCGUUUUAAAAACGGAACAAAGUGUGCGUUGACUAAUAACAGAUCGAAAAGUGUGUUUUACCAGACUAUUGGGAAAGUUAGGUGAAAGAGCCGUCGAAUCAGGAUUUUUACAAAGGAAAAGAAAGUUCCCAUGUAUCAAGAAGACUGAAACCUUGAUCAAAGUGCAAAGGAAAUUUUCUAAUUAAUUUGUGUGGGACAAAUCAAGCCAAAAGAACAAAACUGUGAAACUGCAACCAAACUUAACUUUUACAAAUCAUGGCAGUGGCAUUCUUUAUUCCCUCGGUUGACGAGGAUGAACAGGUUAAGCCUGCGAAUCAACAGCAAACGCACAAUCACCAGCAAUCACCGGCGGUUGGUGGAGGUGCGGCUACAACAGGCACCAACGUGUCGCAACAGGUCUGUGCAGCGGCAGCCCUUGGGCAGCAGCACCUGACCAGUAUGCUGUUCCACGAGAUUCUCGUCGCCUACGCGCGGCAAGCCAUCCUAACGCAACAGCUGAGCCCCGCUCCACCGAGCAGCCCUCCCUGUUUACUCUGCAAAAAGCUCUACUUUCUGUUCCGACGAAUCUACUGACGGCCUCGCCAAGGUCACCGAGUAGACAACGACGACGACGACGAAUCCUCGUCGUUCGUCAAGGACACACCAAACAACAGCCAAAAACGUGCCACCAUCGCCAGGAACAGGAGAAACGAUAAAGUUGCAAUUACGACGUCUACGGAUGCUACUACUACCGCAUUCAAUACUACUAGUACUACGAUUAAAUAUACUACUACAACUUCUACUACUACCACUACUACUACUGUAAAAAGAACUGCCAGGAGCAAACCGAGAGCGGCAGUCGGAGUAAAUUGGAGGAAGAGGGUGGAGCCACCGCAGAAGAGAAAGAGAGAAACUGGGUCAAGGUCUGGCUCCAACUUGCUGGCGGUCACAACAAACCCGUCGUCUGCUCCACCCCCUACUACUACUACUGCCGAUUCUGCUACUACUUCUGCCAACGCUGCUGCUCCCGUCGUUCUGCCUGGCGUUUGCUCCAAGCGUCGCAAACGGAGCGAGUUGUGAAUACAAUGGUGCUAUCAGCAGCGAGAGAUUGUCCGGAACGUGACUCAACUUUUCGUCCCACCAGGUCCGAUGACCAAGACAAAACGGCUGUGGUGGGCGGAAACUUGCUCUACUCGCUUUCCUUCCCCGGGAGCGAGCCGGGGGGUCUCUCGUUGUUUUUGCGUUUGGCUCUGCCAAACCGAUUGUUGUUUUUGGUCGGAAAAGUUUUGCCAUGUUGGGCUCGGUUUUUGUUGUGGAAACACGCAAGCCGAUCGGAAUGUUGCCGGAGAGGACUUGGAAUUGGUCGGCCUUUUUUGGUGCUCGCCGGCCGAGCUUUUGGCUGUUUAUGUGCCAUUCUUUGGUAGAGGACGAAAAAAAGCUUGGCCAGGACACGGCAAUCGAUGGUGUUAAGAAUGGUCCCUCAAAUUUGGUGCCACUCAUCAAAUUGAAUUGACAGAAAGCGUCGUCAUCGUCAUUGGAAUUUUGCCUCACACAAAUGGGACUUCCGGGUCCCUUAAAGGAAUUUUUGGUGCAAACUUUGGAGCAACUUUUUUGCUGCAGGGAAAAUCGAAUUGUAGAAAUUUAAAAUCAACUAAUUGUUCAAAAAGGUUUAUGAAAAAAAAAAAAACAAAUCAAAACUAGAGACCAUCGUUUUUAUCGUCGUCGUCGUCGUGAUUCGCAACAAUUUUUAACCAACAAUACCUGUACAUACGAAGAAGCAGUUUCGUUCCACCAUGUAUCGAUAUACCCCCUAAGUCAAAGGAAGAGCUGUGAAAAACCAAAGCAUCUGAUCAAAAGACAAACUACAAAGUAAUUUAUAUGCUACUUUUUUUAAGAGAAGCAACAAAAAUCCCCAAAUCGCCCUCAGGGUUGAAGCCCUUUUCAGGAAAAAAAGCGAGGGGUGAUAGGUUAAGAUUUUUUUCAUUUCUUUGGUUCAAUUCUUAGCGUUCGAUAAGAAAAUAAACUGUCUAACAUAUUUAUAUAUCAAUCUAUGUAAAACCUUAGAGGGAACUCUUUCAAUUAAUGAGAAAAAAAACAAAUCUUUACCGUAGUAGAACAAGUGUUCGUUUCUUACAAUUUAAGAAAAAAAAUUAUGGGAAUCAAAACAAAGACAAACAAGAGAAAAGAGAGGAAAAGCGUAUUGUGACAUUAGCCAUGUAAGGACAAAGAUACAAACAAACAAAAACAAAGAAAAGCGCAUUGUGAUAUCGAAAACUUCUUUUUUCUUAAUUUUUAAAUUUAAUAUUUCUAUAUAGGCUGCUAGAGAGAGAAGCAUUUUAAAGUGAACAGCGGAUCGAAUCGAUUUAAAAUAAAGAAGGAAGACGCCAUUUUUAAAGACAAAAAAAUAACAAAAUGGCCAAUAGUUGAGGCACUCGAACGCACAUUUAGCAAACAGAGCAUUUAUAGAGAUACUUGUACAUAAUAAAUUUUAAAAAUUGACAAAAAAGAGUUACAAACCAACCAAAUUUAACCUUAAAAUACAAACCAAUUGAAAGCAAAACAAAACAAGCAAAUCUGUGUUUAGAUGUUUAAGGUUUCUUCUAGAGGAGAGUAACAGAGCAGAUUUUUUAACUCGCUGUGUAAGAUUUUCGUUUUGUCUAUAUUCCUAGCUGGUAGUUAUCUAAGAUUUGGUAGUCGUGUAAGGCUUUUUCCUCCCUACCCCUGUAAUCCCCAACUAAUACCAAUUUAAAUAAAUUUCAAAAGCUUGCAAAAGCAACAAAAACUUAACACAAUCAUCGAUUACUUUCUAAGGUAUCGCUAGGUUUAAGCCAGAAUCUGUAACAGUACUGAUUACCAAAAUUUUGUCGCUAUCAAUUUGCAUUUUUCAUUGUUUGUACAUAUACAGUUUUUUGAAUAUUUAUAAUGUUUAAAGAAACCAUUGGAAGGCGGAAAAAUUUCAAAAAAAAAAAAAAAAAGAAUCGAAGCUCGUGUUUCGUUGUUGAUUAAAGAAAUUAAAUUUAUUGAAGCCAUAAAAGAAAAUAAAAAAUUACUCAACCUAUACUUAAGUAUCCAGCAACACAUCGAAUGAUUUCGUACCAUCUUGUCCCAAUAACGAAUUAGCUCAUUGAAUAUGUUUUAGUUUAGUUUAAUUUAAAUUAAAUUCCUUUACAUUUUCGAUCAAGGGAAAUGUUCUUUUGAUUGAACAUUGAAUCAACGAUAAGCGAUAAUUUUGUAUCCAUUCGACGGAGCCCCACUUUCGUUGGGCGUCAACUAGCGAUAAUGUGAAUUGUGAAGCAAAGCGGAAAA
Long non-coding RNA from Uranotaenia lowii, 3461 nucleotides. RefSeq lists it as uncharacterized. Lineage: Eukaryota; Metazoa; Arthropoda; Insecta; Diptera; Culicidae. The transcript has 4 exons. The record is from RefSeq and is a predicted model, not a curated record.